Prionailurus viverrinus (fishing cat) is the source of this 376-nucleotide long non-coding RNA. RefSeq lists it as uncharacterized. NCBI's taxonomy places the organism in Eukaryota, Metazoa, Chordata, Mammalia, Carnivora, Felidae. The transcript is spliced from 4 exons. The record is from RefSeq and is a predicted model, not a curated record.
CGGAGUUGUGUAUAAGAUACAGGCAUACACACACCAGUCCUGGUUACAUUUUUUUCCCUUCUCUUUGGACCAUGAUAAGCUUCAGAGUAGUGACUACGGGAGCAGGGUAACUUAGAGUGAAGAGAUAUUUACACAGAAAAGUAAAUUUGCAUGUAUGAGCUAGGAAGGUGUUUUUUAGGUAUGUUACAGGCUUACUUUAAACAAUUUAACUUACGUUCCGAAGUAACUGUAAAUUAAUGUUGGUAGUAUAGCAAAUUAUGAUGAAUAGCUUUAAUUGUAUGUUUAAAAAUCAUGUUCACAAGCUUAAAUCUGGAUAUCAGAAUUAAGCAAUUCUUGAAAUGUAUGAAUGUCUCCUUAAUAUACUGAUUACAAAGCA